RNAcentral lists this ribosomal RNA (301 nucleotides) under uncultured bacterium. RNAcentral describes it as "partial 16S ribosomal RNA". It matches the Rfam family "Bacterial small subunit ribosomal RNA", at positions 509 to 809 of the family's 1533-position model. The record is from RNAcentral.
CAGUCGCCGCGGGAAUACGUAGGUGGCAAGCGUUGUCCGGAAUUAUUGGGCGUAAAGGGCUCGCAGGCGGUUUCUUAAGUCUGAUGUGAAAGCCCCCGGCUCAACCGGGGAGGGUCAUUGGAAACUGGGAAACUUGAGUGCAGAAGAGGAGAGUGGAACUCCACGUGUAGCGGUGAAAUGCGUAGAGAUGUGGAGGAACACCAGUGGCGAAGGCGACUCUCUGGUCUGUAACUGACGCUGAGGAGCGAAAGCGUGGGGAGCGAACAGGAUUAGAUACCCCUGUAGUCCCUGUCUCUUAUAA